Molecule: ribosomal RNA, 1370 nt
Filed under: uncultured bacterium
Lineage: Bacteria
Description: bacterial SSU rRNA
Rfam family: Bacterial small subunit ribosomal RNA
Source: RNAcentral
AGAGUUUGAUCCUGGCUCAGAACGAACGCUGGCGGCGUGGAUAAGACAUGCAAGUCGAACGAGAGAAUUGCUAGCUUGCUAAUAAUUCUCUAGUGGCGCACGGGUGAGUAACACGUGAGUAACCUGCCCCCGAGAGCGGGAUAGCCCUGGGAAACUGGGAUUAAUACCGCAUAGUAUCGAAAGAUUAAAGCAGCAAUGCGCUUGGGGAUGGGCUCGCGGCCUAUUAGUUAGUUGGUGAGGUAACGGCUCACCAAGGCGAUGACGGGUAGCCGGUCUGAGAGGAUGUCCGGCCACACUGGAACUGAGACACGGUCCAGACACCUACGGGUGGCAGCAGUCGAGAAUCAUUCACAAUGGGGGAAACCCUGAUGGUGUGACGCCGCGUGGGGGAAUGAAGGUCUUCGGAUUGUAAACCCCUGUCAUGUGGGAGCAAAUUAAAAAGAUAGUACCACAAGAGGAAGAGACGGCUAACUCUGUGCCAGCAGCCGCGGUAAUACAGAGGUCUCAAGCGUUGUUCGGAAUCACUGGGCGUAAAGCGUGCGUAGGCUGUUUCGUAAGUCGUGUGUGAAAGGCGCGGGCUCAACCCGCGGACGGCACAUGAUACUGCGAGACUAGAGUAAUGGAGGGGGAACCGGAAUUCUCGGUGUAGCAGUGAAAUGCGUAGAUAUCGAGAGGAACACUCGUGGCGAAGGCGGGUUCCUGGACAUUAACUGACGCUGAGGCACGAAGGCCAGGGGAGCGAAAGGGAUUAGAUACCCCUGUAGUCCUGGCAGUAAACGGUGCACGCUUGGUGUGCGGGGAAUCGACCCCCUGCGUGCCGGAGCUAACGCGUUAAGCGUGCCGCCUGGGGAGUACGGUCGCAAGAUUAAAACUCAAAGAAAUUGACGGGGACCCGCACAAGCGGUGGAGUAUGUGGCUUAAUUCGAUGCAACGCGAAGAACCUUACCUGGGCUUGACAUGUAAUGAACAACAUGUGAAAGCAUGCGACUCUUCGGAGGCGUUACACAGGUGCUGCAUGGCCGUCGUCAGCUCGUGUCGUGAGAUGUUUGGUUAAGUCCAGCAACGAGCGCAACCCCUGUUGCCAGUUACCAGCACGUGAAGGUGGGGACUCUGGCGAGACUGCCCAGAUCAACUGGGAGGAAGGUGGGGACGACGUCAGGUCAGUAUGGCCCUUAUGCCCAGGGCUGCACACGUACUACAAUGCCCAGUACAGAGGGGGCCGAAGCCGCGAGGCGGAGGAAAUCCUGAAAACUGGGCCCAGUUCGGACUGUAGGCUGCAACCCGCCUACACGAAGCCGGAAUCGCUAGUAAUGGCGCAUCAGCUACGGCGCCGUGAAUACGUUCCCGGGUCUUGCACUAACCGCCCGUCA